UUGAGAUAUCAGCUGAUGUACGAAGGGCUAUAUAAAUAAAUUUGAUUUGAUUUGAUUUGACAAUCGAGUACUUCUUCUCCCUCGGGAGGAGCUUCCUGCUGACAUACAUGAUUGGGUGCUCCUCACCUUCCUGCUCUUGGGACAAAACGGCCCCUACCCCUGUGUCAGACGUGUCUGUCUGGACCAGGAGGUUUUUUGAGAAGUCUGGGGUGACAAGUACCGGGUGUGAACAUGGUGCAUCCUUCAGGGCCUGGAAUGCCGUCUCUGUGUCCUCCGUCCAUCGCACCGUCUGGGCUAGUCGUGCCUUCGUUAAGUCUGUGAGGGGAGAACUAUUGUGGCAAAGUUAGGUACAAAUCGACUGUAGUAGCCUGCUAACCCCAGGAAUGACUUCACCUGCUUCUUGGUUCGGGGGACCUGCCAUUCCCUAAGGGCAGCGAUUUUUUUCUUCUUGGGGCUUCACAUUUCCCCUCCCUAUCAGAUAGUCCAGGUACUCCACCUCGGCGUAGCCCAGCUUGCACUUGUGGGGGUUUGCAGUCAGACCUGCAUCCGUUAGCGCAUCCAUCACUGCCUGUAACCUACAAAGAUGGGACUCCCAACUGUCACUGUGCACAAUUAUGUCAUCCAAAUAAGCAGCCGCAAGACGUGGUACAUGAGUCGCUGAAUGGUCGCUGGUGCCCCGUGGAGCCAGAAAGGAAGAACCCGGUAGUGGUAUAGCCCCCCCACCCCGAGGUGGAAAAGGCCGUCUUCUCCCGGGAGGCCGCUGCCAGCAGCACCUGCCAGUACCCCUUCGUCAGGUCCAAUGUGCUGAUGUAUCUCGCCCUACCCAAGCGGUCGAUCAGUUCGUCCACCCGGGGCAUUGGGUAGGUGUCAAACUUAAUGACCUCAUUCAGGCCCCGGAAGUCAUUGCAGAAGCGGACGGUUCCGUCCGGUUUCGGUACCAGCACUAUAGGGCUAGACCACUUACUGUGGGACUCCUCCAGUACCCCCAUCUCUAGCAUUAUCGUCACUUCCCGUUGGACCACCACCCUCCGGGCUUCUGGUAUCCGGUAUGGCCAUUUACGCACUUUUUCUCCCGGACGUGUGUGGAUAGAAUGUUCCACGAGAUCCGUGUGCCCCAGCACCUCUGAGAACACGACCGUAUUCUGCUGGACAAACUCUCUGAGCUCUUGUCGUUGGGUGGGGCUGAGGUCUUCCCCCAUUGCAACUUUGACAGAGGGCAGGCUCUGCUGUGGCCGGGUCUAUUUCUUCAGCAAGUUCACAUGGUAAAGCUGGAGGAGUUUUCUCCGCCCCGUUUGGUGGACCUUGUAAUUGACGUCGCCUACCAGCGCAACAAUGUCGUAUGGCCCAUGCCACGUAGCCAGGAAUUUUACUCUCCAUUGUAGGGAUCAGCACCAAGACCUUCUCACCUGGGUGGAACUCUCAUGGUUGGGCCCCCCAGUUGUAGACACGCUCCUGGGCGCGUUGCGCCUGGGCCAUGUGCUCCCUCAACAUUGGCCAAAUUGCCGUCAUCCUCUCCCUCAUUUCCUCCACAUGUUCUACUACGCUGCGAAGGGGGGGGUCGGCUGCUCUUCCCAGACCUCUUUGGCUAGGUCCAGCAGUCCGCGGGCCGACGGCCAUACAGAAGCUCAGAGGGGGAGAACCCAGUGGAUGCUUGGGGUACCUCGCGCACUGAGAACAUCAGGUGGGGCAGCAGCUGGUCCCAGUUCCUCCCGUCUCUCUUGAUGACCUUCUUCAACAUCUGCUUUAGGUUCUUAUUGAAGCAUUCAACUAGCCCAUCCGUUUGUGGAUGGUACCCACUGGUCCUCACCUGUUUUAUUCGUAAUAGAUUGCAGACAUCUUUCAUCACACGAGACAUGAAUGCGGUGCCCUGGUCCAUCAUGAUUUCCCGUGGAAUACACAUCCGGCUAAAUAAAUGGAAGAGCUCCCGCGCAAUACCUUUUGCUGCCACCGUGCAUAACGGGAUUGCCUCAGAAUACCGGGUCGGAUAAUCCACGAUUACCAGGAUGUAUUGGUGUCCCCUCGCGGUCUUCACCAAUGGACCCACCAGAUCCAUUGCCACCCGCUCAAAUGGCACUCCUAUAAUGGGCAAGGGAACCAAAGGGUUCCUUUCCUGUGGCUCAGUUGGUAGAGCAUGGUGUUUGCAACGCCAGGGUUGUGGGUUCGAUUCCCACGGGGGGCCAGUACAAAAAAAAAAAAAUGCAUGUAAUUAAAUGAAAUGUAUGCAAUCACUACUGUAAGUCGCUCUGGAUAAGAGCAUCUGCUAAAUGACUAAAAUGUAAAUGUAUAAUGUACCCUUGGAGCUGUGAUCUGGCACUCCAGGCAACUACAGCAGUAGUCCUCCAUGGUGCGCUUGAACCGGUUCCCGAUCCGCUCCCUGGUUUUCUCCAUCCCAAGGUGUGCCCCAAGCAGCAUGCCAUCCACCACAAUCACCUGGCCCCUAGCCUUCUGGAGAUUGGGGUCUUCUAACUGGGCCGUCCUGAACUGACCCGUGAGGAUUACCGUGUCGGGAGGUCCAUCUGGGGCCUCCACCUCCAUAAAGGGGAGCCUGAGGUCUUCCUCGCACAGUGGCUCGCUUGCCGGAGUGGGGUCGUCUCCCUCCUCCAGGUCCGACUCGGGCCCAGUGGACACCUCUCGAGGCGGGGAGUGGGUUGUGCAGGCCACUGUCCUUUUUCCUUUUCUUCCUACCUCACGUGCGCACCACCCCAGGUCCCUCCUCCACAGUGCCUGGAAGAGAGUGCAAUCUCGACCGAGGAAAAUGGACAUAGGCAGGUUAGGAACAGCCCCCACGUGCAUCUGGCACCCCCUUGGGGUGGUUAUCCUCACCGGCACAGUUGGGUACCUCUUCGUGUCCCUGUGUACACAGGACACUCACCUCCUCGUCCUCUCUUUGUGUUGUUCGUCCCCCUCACCCCAUCCCCUCUCUCCGCUCGGGCCCCUCUCAGCAGGUCCAGGGUGUUCUGGUGAGUUUCCACAGCGGUCAGCAAUUCCUGCAGGCUCUGGGGGUUCUGCAUGCACAAUGUCUUCUUCAUCUCGUAUGGCAGGGCCGAAGGUAUCGAUCCAGGACGAGCUUGUCGAUCAUCGGGAGGGACGGUACUUCUGUCAGUAGCCAGCCCUUGGUCAGGCGCACCAGGUCACUCAUCUGAGCACGGGGGAAAAGGGUGGGGUCAAAGGCCCCGUCGUGGACCAGUUGUGCACGGUGUGCGAGGCUGAAUCUAUAACGGCUCAGGAUCUCACGUUUGAGUCCUUCAUAAUUCGCGGCCUGGUCAGCCUAAUUUUAUGAACUAGGCCUUUAUUACACUGGUCCAAGUAAAACUACUUUAAACUGCUACUUAAGUAGUUUUUUCGGGUAUCUGUUCUUUACUAUUUAUAUUUCUGACUACUUUUACUCCACUACAUUCCUAAAGAAAAUAUGUACUUUUUACUCCCAUACAUUUUCCUUGACACCAAAAAGUACUUGUUAUAUUUAAUGCUCAGGCAGGACAGAAUUAUUGUCCAAUUCACGCACCUAUCAAUAUAACUGUAAUGGAAAUUCUAUGAUUAAAGGUUUGACUAAAUGAUUUCACUCAGAAACCCUAUAACCUGUUGAAAUGUAUUCGAAAUAAGGCUAUAAUAAUGGGUUAGAAACUAUAUUCUAAUACUGUGUGUAAGUAAGACACUGUUACCACUUCAAAAUGAGCAGGGCAGAGUUGAUAAGAUGACCUUGGGAAAGGAACAGGAGAAGAGGUCUCCCUAAGUUAGGGAGAGAAACAACGGCCUGGGAACAGCUAGGCUGGCAAAAGAUAAGGAGACAGGUGGUCUGGGUACUGUGGAAAAAUACAGCCGCCUAAAGCUGGGUGGAGUUCUCUACUGAUGUAAGUUAGUGUGUGUGUGUGUGUGUGUGUGUGUG
Molecule: long non-coding RNA, 3886 nt
Filed under: Salmo salar (Atlantic salmon)
Lineage: Eukaryota; Metazoa; Chordata; Actinopteri; Salmoniformes; Salmonidae
Description: lncRNA (ENSSSAG00000111870.1, ENSSSAG00000117261.1)
Rfam family: UnaL2 LINE 3' element (bases 2221-2274)
Source: RNAcentral